This 421-nucleotide ribosomal RNA is filed under the name uncultured archaeon. RNAcentral's name for it is "partial 16S ribosomal RNA". It matches the Rfam family "Archaeal small subunit ribosomal RNA", at positions 323 to 746 of the family's 1478-position model. The record is from RNAcentral.
CUACGAGUGGCAGCAGAUACGAAUCCUCUACAAUGCACGCAAGUGUGAUAGGGGAAUCCCUCGUGCUGGCGUUAUGCGUCAGCUUUUUUAGAGCGUGAAUAACUUUAAGAAUAAGGGGUGGGCAAGACCGGUGCCAGCCGCCGCGGUAAUCCCGGCGCCCCAAGUGGUGAUCAUUUUUACUGGGUCUAAAGCGUCCGUAGCUGGUCUGUUAGGUUCUUAGUUAAAUUCGGCAGCUUAACUGUCGAUCCGCUAGGAAUACUGGCAGACUUGAGACCGGGAGGAGUUAGAGGAAUGUCAUGGGGAGUGGUAAAAUGCUGUAAUCCAUGAUGGACCAUCAGUAGCGAAGGCGUCUAACUAGAACGGGUCUGACAGUCAGGGACGAAAGCUGGGGGAGCAAAACGGAUUAGAUACCCCAGUAGUC